GAUGAACGCUGGCGGCGCGCCUAACACAUGCAAGUCGAACGGCACCCCUCCUCGGAGGGAAGCGAGUGGCGAACGGCUGAGUAACACGUGGAGAACCUGCCCCCUCCCCCGGGAUAGCCGCCCGAAAGGACGGGUAAUACCGGAUACCCCGGGGUGCCGCAUGGCACCCCGGCUAAAGCCCCGACGGGAGGGGAUGGCUCCGCGGCCCAUCAGGUAGACGGCGGGGUGGCGGCCCACCGUGCCGACAACGGGUAGCCGGGUUGAGAGACCGACCGGCCAGAUUGGGACUGAGACACGGCCCAGACUCCUACGGGAGGCAGCAGUGGGGAAUCUUGCGCAAUGGGGGGAACCCUGACGCAGCGACGCCGCGUGCGGGACGGAGGCCUUCGGGUCGUAAACCGCUUUCAGCAGGGAAGAGUCAAGACUGUACCUGCAGAAGAAGCCCCGGCUAACUACGUG
Molecule: ribosomal RNA, 459 nt
Filed under: uncultured bacterium
Lineage: Bacteria
Description: partial 16S ribosomal RNA
Rfam family: Bacterial small subunit ribosomal RNA
Source: RNAcentral